AUAUGAAGUCGGACCUGCCCAGUGAGUUUUAAACGGCCGCGGUACUCUGACCGUGCAAAGGUAGCAUAAUCAUUUGCCUUAUAAUUGAAGGCUGGAAUGAAUGGUUUGACAAGAAUACAGCUGUCUCUUUUAGAUUGUUUAGAAUUUUAUUUUUGGAUGAAAAAGUCCAAAUAUUAUUAAAAGACAAGAAGACCCUAUCGAGCUUUAGAGGAAUUAAUGGGCUUAAAAUAAAUCAAUAUAAGUAAAAGAUAAACUAUUAAAUACUUUGGUUGGGGCAACCGAGGAGUAAAUAAAGCCUCCUUUAAAUCAUAUAAAACUUGCUUGUGUUGAUCCAAGAAUUUUGAUCAAAGGAAUUAGUUACCGUAGGGAUAACAGCAUUAUCUUUUUCAAGAGCCCAUAUCGAAAAAAAGGUUUGUGACCUCGAUGUUGGACCAGAAUAUCCUAAAGAUGCAGAAGUCUUUAAGGGUUGGUCUGUUCGACCAUUAAAAUUCUA
This 493-nucleotide ribosomal RNA is filed under the name Conus bocki. Its description in RNAcentral is "partial 16S ribosomal RNA". It matches the Rfam family "Bacterial large subunit ribosomal RNA", at positions 1845 to 2598 of the family's 2925-position model. The record is from RNAcentral. Lineage: Eukaryota; Metazoa; Mollusca; Gastropoda; Neogastropoda; Conidae.